Molecule: ribosomal RNA, 380 nt
Filed under: uncultured bacterium
Lineage: Bacteria
Description: partial 16S ribosomal RNA
Rfam family: Bacterial small subunit ribosomal RNA
Source: RNAcentral
CCUACGGGAGGCAGCAGUGGGGAAUAUUGCACAAUGGGGGGCACCCUGAUGCAGCGACGCCGCGUGGGUGAAGAAGGGUUUCGGCGUGUAAAGUUCUGUCGUUAGUGAAGAAUGAGGACGGUACCUGAGUAGGAAGCCACGGCUAACUACGUGCCAGCAGCCGCGGUAAUACGUAGGUGGCAAGCGUUGUCCGGAAUUACUGGGUGUAAAGGGAGCGCAGGCGGGAAGGCAAGUCAGCAGUGAAAGCUACGGGCUGAACCGGUAGACUGCUGUUGAAACUGGGUUGCUUGAGUGAAGGAGAGGAUGGCGGAAUUCCUAGUGUAGCGGUGAAAUGCGUAGAUAUUCGGAGGAACACCGGUGGCGAAGGCGGCCAACUGGGC